UAUCCGAUGAAAAGUCCCUUGGAAUAGGGCAUCACAGAGGGUGAUAAUCCCGUAUUUUAUCGUGAUUUUGACGUCGUGUGUAGUAAUUUCAAAGAGUCGAGUUGUUUGGGAUUGCAGCUCAAAACGGGUGGUAAAUUCCAUCUAAGGCUAAAUAACGGCAAGAGACCGAUAGCGAACAAGUACCGUGAGGGAAAGAUGAAAAGAACUUUGAAAAGAGAGUUAAACAGUACGUGAAAUUGUUGAAAGGGAAACGAUUGAGGCCAGUCAUGCCUGCGAGAAAUCAAUCAUUUUAAUUUUAUUUUCGAAUUUGAUUAAUUGGUGCACUUUUUCGCGUGGCAGGUUAGCAUCAACUUUAAUUGUUGUAAAAUGGUGGUCGGAAUGUGACUCUUUUAGAGUGUUAUAGCCGAUUGCAGAUGCAACGAUUGGGGUUGAGGUUUGCGGCAAAUGCCUUUGGGCUACUUACCUUCCUUCUGAUCUGUUCACUUUGGAAUGACAGCUUGCUGACAUUUUAAAGGGCGUUCAAUCAAUAGGGUAGAGUAUUGAUAAAUUUGCCAAGGAUGCUGACGUAAUGACCUUAAACGACCCGUCUUGAAACACGGACCAAGGAGUCUAACAUACGUGCAAGUGUUUGGGUGGCAAACCCAUACGCGAAAUGAAAGUAAAUGUAGGUGGGAUCUGUCGUUUUUCGGCAGUGCAGCAUCAACC
RNAcentral lists this ribosomal RNA (705 nucleotides) under uncultured Glomeromycotina. Its description in RNAcentral is "eukaryotic LSU rRNA". It matches the Rfam family "Eukaryotic large subunit ribosomal RNA", at positions 171 to 766 of the family's 3401-position model. The record is from RNAcentral. Lineage: Eukaryota; Fungi; Glomeromycota.